CAGUAGCCGCGGGAAUACGAAGGGGGCUAGCGUUGUUCGGAAUUACUGGGCGUAAAGCGCACGUAGGCGGAUCGAUCAGUCAGGGGUGAAAUCCCAGGGCUCAACCCUGGAACUGCCUUUGAUACUGUCGAUCUGGAGUAUGGAAGAGGUGAGUGGAAUUCCGAGUGUAGAGGUGAAAUUCGUAGAUAUUCGGAGGAACACCAGUGGCGAAGGCGGCCCACUGGUCCAUUACUGACGCUGAGGUGCGAAAGCGUGGGGAGCAAACAGGAUUAGAUACCCCCGUAGUCCCUGUCUCUUAUAA
RNAcentral lists this ribosomal RNA (301 nucleotides) under uncultured bacterium. RNAcentral describes it as "partial 16S ribosomal RNA". It matches the Rfam family "Bacterial small subunit ribosomal RNA", at positions 509 to 809 of the family's 1533-position model. The record is from RNAcentral.